Odontomachus brunneus is the source of this 4499-nucleotide long non-coding RNA. RefSeq lists it as uncharacterized. Lineage: Eukaryota; Metazoa; Arthropoda; Insecta; Hymenoptera; Formicidae. The transcript is spliced from 7 exons. The record is from RefSeq and is a predicted model, not a curated record.
UUUCGACUAACUAUAUAAAAAAUUAAAAAUGCCUAGUCAUUAUAAUAAAGAUUACUUCGAAAAUCAUAUAAACAUUUGUGAUACGUCGUUCAAGCAGUGAAGCUAUGACGUAAUCAUGCAUAUGCAGGAAGGUUCGCGCAUUAUACGCACAUCACAUUAUUCUGCGAAAGGUAUAACACGUGCUUGAUAUUCGUGAAAAAUAUCAAAAAGUUGAAAAUAUUUUACAAUAUAUUGGAAAAAUAGUGGAAGAUUGGUGGAAGCUACAUAAAGAAGUUGGUACGUAUGCAAUUAUAAUAUUGUAAGAAAUAUGUAUAAUGCACAAAAAAAACAUGUUCAAAACGUCAUGGUAGACGAAUUAUUGCAAAUAAAAGUGACAUAGAUGUUGCAGGAUGUUCUAAACAUAUUUCAAGCAGGCAUACUGUAAAUAUUUCUUCUAAAGAUUCUUUAAAUUUAGAUUCAUAUAGUGACACUUCUGUAGAAGUUAAUAUUUCUGAUCCACAUGAUGCUAAGAAAGUAUUUAUUGAAACUAUAUUCUCAAAAAAUGAUACGUUACAACAUAGUAAUGAUAUACAAACAAAUACUUCUAACUAUUAUAAUUGUAUUGCUGAUGAAUCAAACAAGGCUACUAAUAUUACUGAUGAGGAUAAACUAACAAAGGCUAUAGCUACAUGGGCAGUAUCUCAUAAUAUUACUCAUAACGCAUGCAAUGACUUGUUACAUAUUUUACGUCAAUAUAUAUCAUGUAAUAUACCUGCAGGGGUGUAUAUCAGUUAGACACGGGGCAAUUGGACACAGUCCAAUCACAAGUCGCUGUUCCAAGGGACCCUACAAAUGUCUCUAAUCACACGGUGCUGUGAUUGGCUGUGUCCAAAUGCACUGUGUCCAAGUGCACCGCUCCCUACCUGCAGAUAUACGAACAGUAUUAAAAACUCCAAGACAAACAGAUAUUUUUCAAAUAUGUGGAGGGGAAUACUUUUAUUCAGGUUUGCAAAUAUGAUUAAAAAGAUAUGAUUAAAAAGAUGCUAUCAAAAAAUAAUGAUACAAGUAUUAAUUUAAUUAUGAAUAUUGAUGGUCUUCCAUUAGCGAAAUCAUCGCAAGCAUCUUUAUGAACAAUUUUAUGUUCGAAUACUGUAAAUACAGCAGUAUAUCUUGUUGGUGCUUAUCUUGGAUACCAAAAACCUACUGAUCCUAAUAGUUUUUUGCAACCUGUAGUGGAUGACUUAAUUAAUUUAAUUAAUAAUGGUUAUAUUCAUACCGAAAAGGUAAUCAAAAUCAGAUUACAUGCCUUAAUAUGUGAUACACCUACAAAGUCUUUUAUUUUAUGUAUAAAAAAUCACACUGGAUAUUAUAGUUGCACAAAAUGCUUAAUCAAAGGAAAACAUAUAAAUGGUAGAAUAUGUUUCCCAUCUUACAAAACUUAUCCUUCGAGAAAAGAUGAAUUAUUUACCAUUAAUGCAUAUAAAGAUUUCUUGACUAAUUAUUCUAUUUUAAAUAAUAUUCCCGAAUUUUUACCCUUAAUUAAUACUCCAGUAAAGUACAUGCAUCUAAUAUGUUUAGGGGUUGUUAAAAAAAUGAUCAUUCUAUGGAUGAAUGGUCCAUUUUGUGUACGUUUGAAUACAAGGUCCAUUAAUAAAAUAUCACAUAUGUUGAUUACGUUUAGAAAUACAGCACCAAGUGAUUUUGUUAGAAAACCCAGAUCGAUAAAAGAUGUGAAGCAUUGGAAAGCUAUAGAAUUUCGAAAUUUUUUAUUGUAUACAGGUCCUAUCGUAUUAAGGUAUAUAUUAAAACGUGACAUAUAUAUUCAUUUCCUGACACUACAUGUAGCCAUAACAAUUCUUAUACGUAAAAAUUUAUGCCAAACAGAGUUAAUAAAUUUUGCUGAUGCUUUAUUAGAUCACUUUGUAAAGUCGUUUGAAAUAUUAUACGGCAAACAAUAUGUAUCACAUAAUGUACAUAACCUUCGACACAUAUGUUCUGAUAUAAGAACAUUUGGUCCGAGGUGUAUAUCAGUUGGACACGGGGCAAUUGGACACAGUCCAAUCACAAGUCGCUGUUCCAAGGGACCCUACAAAUGUCUCUAAUCACACGGUGCUGUGAUUGGCUGUGUCCAAAUGUACCGUGUCCAAGUGCACCGCACCUUUUGGUCCGCUAGAUAAUUUCAGCGCUUUUCGAUUUGAAAAUUACAUGUCAUUUAUUAAAAGACGAUUACGUAAACAUGAAAAAUCAUUACAGCAAUUAAUUAAAAGAUAUCAGGAGAUUGAUAAUUGUAAUGUUUUACGCUCAGAAAAUGAUAGCAAUAAUGAAAUAUAUUCUUGUAAAUUUGUGCACAGUAAUGGUCCAAUACCUGAAAAUUUUGAGGUUCACUUACAAUAUCAUAUGAUAUCAAAUGGAAAAUUUAAUAUAAAUUGCAAAGGUUGUAAUAAUAAUUGUUGUCUAUUAAAAAACGGUACAUAUAUUGUCAUUCAGAAUAUAGUGCAAAAAAAGAAUAAAGACAUUUUUGUUAUUGGAAAAAAACUUAAAUAUUUAAAAGAUGUUUAUACAUUGCCAUGUAAAUCCAGCGAUUUUAGUAUUAAAGUGAUGAAAGUAGACCAUGAUAAUAUUUGGUCUUGGCAUAAAAUGCCUUAUGAAAACGAUCCAGAUGUAUUUGCAAUAUUUCCACUUAACCAUCAAAUAUAAUGUUUGUUUUCUAUUGCUGCACUGCUGAAUUAGUGCAAUAAAUUAGAGUGAGAAAACUUAUAUUUGUCUUAUUUUAACUUAUUGCAUUAGUUCAGCAGUGCAGCAAUAGAAAACAAACCUCUAAUGACGUGCAUUAUGUAUAUAAUAAAGAUAUUUCUUACAAUACAGUAUAAUUCAUAUUUACCGUACGAUUGCAUAUAUACUACACCACAUAGAAAUGGAUAGCAGAUUUAUAAUUGCGGAAUUUUACGACGGACUGCAAUUAAUACCAGCAGCAUGGUAUAAUGCAGAUAAAUUAUCAUGCAUUUGGCCUAGCCAUUUUAAAACAAAAUUGCGAAUUAAUAAAGCUAUUAUGGCAAAAGAGAUGCCACAGGAAAUAUCAGAUUGGGAGGAGUUACCCAUCAAGAAAAUUUUUGGCACUGCAAAUAUAUAUGAAGAAAGUAUAGACAAAUUAGUGCGAGCAGAAGACACAUCUAAUGUUGAUACUGCUAUUUCAUCAAACGAGAGGAAACAACAAGAAAAGAAGAAGAGAUGUGUCAAAGCCAAAAGACAUUUUUCAUCCUCUUCUGAAGAUCUAUCCUCUACCGAGGAUAAAGAAAAUAAUAUCCAAAAAGGAAAAGUAGUGCCUGCUCUGCCGGGUGUAUAUCAGUUGGACACGGGGCAAUUGGACACAGUCCAAUCACAAGUCGCUGUUCCAAAGGACCCUACAAAUGUCUCUAAGUACACGGUGCUGUGAUUGGCUGUGUCUAAAUGCACCGUGUCCAAGUGCACCGCUCCCGCUCUGCCGCGAAAAGAGGAUUUUACUAAGAAGCAAUUAUUGGACACACGAGAAAUGACAGUACAUGCGAAUACUUUCAUGAAUACAGGAAGCAAUAACGAUGCAAAUAACGUUUUUACAAAUAAUAUUACACGUCGUGUAGAACAUUCUGCUGCAGAGACUCAUAAUGAACAUCUUGACACUUGUGAUUUUAAGAAACAUAUUAUAUGGAAAUUAAAUAAGGUAUUAUAUAAAUUAGAAAAUAUUGAAAAUAGACUGCAUAUACUUCAGGAGCAAAGGCAAUCUGCUAAUGAAUUUUGCAAAACUCAAGAAAUGAAUAUUUAUUUUCCGAUAUGUACAAUACCUGACUUGAAGAAAAAUUGAAGGAAGAAAAUUUUCAGAAUGAUCUACAUUUUUUUAAAGUUGUCGGUGGGAGCACCGCUUAUAUAAUGAUACGUAAUAUAUUUAAAAAAACAAUAACAGAUAAUGUAACCAAACAUUUUAACUGGACUAGAAAAAAAGAUAAACAAAGCUUUAAAGAUUUAAGACUUUCAAAAAUCAUCAUACAAGCUGUUCGUAUGAUAUAUAAGGAAAUGACAGACAGCAACAUUACAGAUUAUAUAUCAAAAUGGCUUGCCCAAGCAAAUAUAAGGAUUCAAAGAGAAAAAAAUGAAGAAAAUUCAGGAAAAUAAGAAUUAAACAUUAUAUAUUUUAUUAUUUAUAUCUUCAUGUUCUUUAACAUAUGUUAUUUUUUACUCAUUGGAAAAGUGGAAUAGUGAAACGCAAAGAGAAAAUUAGGUUCUCCUUGACUCCAACGUAAUACCCUUUUAUUAUAUGAAUAACGUAUAUAAAAUAAAAAAUUUUGUUAAUGGCACAUGUGUAUGACCCUAAGUGUCAUACUGAGGUUCUAUAUACUCCACCUUUCUGAUCACGGGUUAAUAUAUAAGUAUAUUUGUUAUUAGUAUAUAAAUAUAUUAGUAUUAGUAUAAAAGUAUAUUACCUAGUAAACACACAUAUACAGGGUGACCCAUUUUAACUUAGGCAGCCAAAUAACUCGAAAAAUAAG